CUACGGGUUGCUGCAGUAAGGAAUAUUGCGCAAUGGAGGCAACUCUGACGCAGCCAUGCCGCGUGCAGGAAGAAGGCCUUAUGGGUCGUAAACUGCUUUUAUUUAGGAAUAAACCCCCGAACGUGUUCGGGGCUGAAGGUACUAAACGAAUAAGCACCGGCUAACUCCGUGCCAGCAGCCGCGGUAAUACGGAGGGUGCAAGCGUUAUCCGGAUUUAUUGGGUUUAAAGGGUGCGCAGGCGGGCUAUUAAGUCAGUGGUGAAAUCCCGGGGCUCAACUCCGGAACUGCCAUUGAUACUGGUAGUGUUGAGUUUGGUUGAAGUGGGCGGAAUGUAGCAUGUAGCGGUGAAAUGCAUAGAUAUGCUACAGAACACCAAUCGCGAAGGCAGCUCACUAAGCCAAAACUGACGCUCAUGCACGAAAGCGUGGGGAUCAAACAGGAUUAGAUACCCUCGUAGUC
RNAcentral lists this ribosomal RNA (459 nucleotides) under uncultured bacterium. RNAcentral describes it as "partial 16S ribosomal RNA". It matches the Rfam family "Bacterial small subunit ribosomal RNA", at positions 339 to 795 of the family's 1533-position model. The record is from RNAcentral.